AGUAGGGAAUUUUUCACAAUGGGCGAAAGCCUGAUGGAGCAAUGCCGCGUGACUGAUGAAGGUCUUCGGAUUGUAAAGGUCUGUUGUAAGGGAAGAAAGAAUAAAAUAGGAAAUGAUUUUAUUUUUGACGGUACCUUACCUAGAAAGCCACGGCUAACUAUGUGCCAGCAGCCGCGGUAAUACAUAGGUGGCAAGCGUUAUCCGGAUUUAUUGGGCGUAAAGGGUGCGUAGACGGUUUUGUAAGUCUGAGGUUAAAUAUGAGAGCUCAACUCUCAUCUGCCUUGGAAACUGUAAAACUAGAGUGUAGGAGAGGCUAGUGGAAUUCCAUGUGUAGCGGUGGAAUGUGUAGAUAUAUGGAGGAACACCAGUGGCGAAGGCGGCUAGCUGGCCUAAUACUGACGUUGAAGCACGAAAGCGUGGGGAGCAAA
RNAcentral lists this ribosomal RNA (428 nucleotides) under Spiroplasma platyhelix. RNAcentral describes it as "bacterial SSU rRNA". It matches the Rfam family "Bacterial small subunit ribosomal RNA", at positions 353 to 772 of the family's 1533-position model. The record is from RNAcentral. Lineage: Bacteria; Bacillati; Mycoplasmatota; Mollicutes; Entomoplasmatales; Spiroplasmataceae.